UACGGAGGGGGCUAGCGUUGUUCGGAAUUACUGGGCGUAAAGCGCACGUAGGCGGCUUUGUAAGUUAGAGGUGAAAGCCCGGAGCUCAACUCCGGAAUUGCCAUUGAAACUGUAGAACUUGAGUACGAGAGAGGUGAGUGGAAUUCCCAGUGUAGAGGUGAAAUUCGUAGAUAUUAGGAAGAACACCAGUGGCGAAGGCGGCUCACUGGUCCGGUACUGACGCUGAGGUGCGAAAGCGUGGGGAGCAAACAGG
Molecule: ribosomal RNA, 253 nt
Filed under: uncultured bacterium
Lineage: Bacteria
Description: partial 16S ribosomal RNA
Rfam family: Bacterial small subunit ribosomal RNA
Source: RNAcentral